UGGCAGGGCAUGCUCGUUCAGCGGACGCCGGAGCUGGGCUGGCAUCGCUCCAAAUCAUACAAAAUUCGUCGUAGAAGCGAGCACGCUGCAACGUCGUUAUAUGAUUCAAUGAGAGUAGAAAGGGAAAAAAACAGAGCAACAGAUGCUGCAGCUCGAAAUCAUUCAGGUUUCGUGCACAGUAAACGCUCCAAAACAUUCAGGCGACACAAAAGUUGUCCUAAAAUGCGCUACGAGAGCACGGAGCAAUGUCGUUUCAUGGCUGACUGAAACUUGGAAGACCACGAUUCCAAGUAGCGCAGACGGCAAGUACAGCAAAAUGGACAAAAUGUUCGUGUAGUUGGGAUCGAGUGUAGAAAAUGUUGUGAGAAAAUGUUGUUGUACCGGCCCGGCGUUACACAACAUCCGGGGUAGUACUGGCCCGGCGUGCAGAAGGUGUGGAAGUUCUUAUUGUAGUUGUUCUUCUGGCAGUAGUUGCUGCACGUCUCGCCCGAGCACGGGAAGAUUGCGUGGUAGUAGUCUGUCACCAAAUAAUCACUGUUAUUAUUAGCAGUGCACGCAGGACACAAAAGAAUUAGUAACUGCAUGAACUACACAGUAUUAAUUACCUGCUGCUUUGCAAGAUUAUAAGGAGACCGUGUGGCCACGAGGAGAGCUGCGAGCAGAACAAGACCUGUGCCCUGCUCCUUGACAUGUGCCAUGGUUGGGAUCGAGUGUGUGGUAUGGAGUACGUAUGGGCAGUGGAGAAGAAGCUAGCUCUCUUGUUAUUCUGCUUGGAUCUUGCUAGAUGUGUUGUUGAUCGGGCUUUAUUUGCUCCUUUGAGUUCU
Molecule: long non-coding RNA, 824 nt
Filed under: Setaria italica (foxtail millet)
Lineage: Eukaryota; Viridiplantae; Streptophyta; Magnoliopsida; Poales; Poaceae
Description: long non-coding RNA (SITA_LNC000813)
Source: RNAcentral